This 309-nucleotide ribosomal RNA is filed under the name uncultured eukaryote. RNAcentral's name for it is "partial 18S ribosomal RNA". It matches the Rfam family "Eukaryotic small subunit ribosomal RNA", at positions 1470 to 1796 of the family's 1831-position model. The record is from RNAcentral.
CCCUUAGAUGUUCUGGGCGGCCCGCGCACUACAUUGGCACUAGCAAAGAGAUCCUAGAUUGAAUUCUUUGGGGUAUUCUUCUAAAUGGUGUCGUGACUGGGAUAAAUCCUUGUAAUUAUUGGUUUUGAACGAGGAAUUCCUUGUAAUCGCGGUUUAUCAGCUCGCGUUGAAUGCGUCCCUGCCCUUUAUACACACCGCCCGUCGCUCCUACCGAUGGAUCGUCCGGUGAAGCUCACGGAGUGACUGUUCACGCAACGGUUUACGAAGUGAAAUGGACCUCACGAUUUAGAGGAAGGAGAAGUCGUAACA